This 314-nucleotide long non-coding RNA is filed under the name Spirodela polyrhiza (greater duckweed). RNAcentral's name for it is "long non-coding RNA (SPOL_LNC000073)". Lineage: Eukaryota; Viridiplantae; Streptophyta; Magnoliopsida; Alismatales; Araceae. The record is from RNAcentral.
UGGGAGAGACAUCAGGGUAGGGGCAAUGUGCAACGACUGCGACCGGUGGCCCCUUGUUUAACAGGCUCCGUGGGAAGUUGACCUGAAAUAGACUACAAUCCUUGAAAUUUCCAUGUAGAAUAAUAACCAUAGAUUGGAUGCAUUUUCUUCGUUCUAUUUGAUCACCUGUAUCGUUGUUGACCCACUUGAUGGCAGAGCAAUAUCCUAACAAGACAAACGCUUUUUGCGCGCGCAGAAAUUCAUUGUGGGGAUGCUGACCAAUUUUGGCAGCAUGGCGCUGGAUAGAAUCCACAAUACUCUCAAGGUAAGUGCCC